CGACGGGUGAGUAACACGUAUGCAAUCCACCUGUAACAGGGGAUAACCCGGAGAAAUCCGGACUAAUACCCAUAAUAUGGGCGCUCCGCAUGGAGAGUCCAUUAAAGAGAGCAAUCUUGGUUACAGACGAGCAUGCGCUCCAUUAGCCAGUUGGCGGGGUAACGGCCCACCAAGGCGACGAUGGAUAGGGGUUCUGAGAGGAAGGUCCCCCACAUUGGAACUGAGACACGGUCCAA
RNAcentral lists this ribosomal RNA (236 nucleotides) under uncultured bacterium. RNAcentral's name for it is "partial 16S ribosomal RNA". It matches the Rfam family "Bacterial small subunit ribosomal RNA", at positions 102 to 334 of the family's 1533-position model. The record is from RNAcentral.